This 460-nucleotide ribosomal RNA is filed under the name uncultured bacterium. RNAcentral describes it as "partial 16S ribosomal RNA". It matches the Rfam family "Bacterial small subunit ribosomal RNA", at positions 338 to 795 of the family's 1533-position model. The record is from RNAcentral.
CCUACGGGGGGCUGCAGUGAGGAAUAUUGGUCAAUGGGCGGAAGCCUGAACCAGCCAAGUAGCGUGCAGGAUGACGGCCCUACGGGUUGUAAACUGCUUUUAUACGGGAAUAACGCGCCUUACGUGUAGGGCUUUGCAUGUACCGUAUGAAUAAGGACCGGCUAAUUCCGUGCCAGCGGCCGCGGUAAUACGGAAGGUCCGGGCGUUAUCCGGAUUUAUUGGGGUUAAAGGGUGCGUAGGCCGAAUGUCCAGCGUGCUGUGAAAUGUCAGGGCUCAACCCGGUACUUGCAGCGCGAACUGGCGUGCUUGAGUCCGCGGAAAGUAGGCGGAAUUCGUGGUGUAGCGGUGAAAUGCUUAGAUAUGACGAAGAACCCCGAUUGCGAAGGCAGCUUGCUGCAGCGGAACUGACGCUGAUGCUCGAAAGCGCGGGUAUCGAACAGGAUUAGAUACCCUUGUAGUC